GGUUAAGCGACUAAGCGUACACGGUGGAUGCCCUGGCAGUCAGAGGCGAUGAAGGGCGUGCUAAUCUGCGAUAAGCGCCGGUAAGGUGAUAUGAACCGUUAUAACCGGCGAUACCCGAAUGGGGAAACCCAGUGUGACUCGUCACACUAUCAUUAACUGAAUCCAUAGGUUAAUGAGGCGAACCGGGGGAACUGAAACAUCUAAGUACCCCGAGGAAAAGAAAUCAACCGAGAUUCCCCCAGUAGCGGCGAGCGAACGGGGAGGAGCCCAGAGCCUGAAUCAGCAUGUGUGUUAGUGGAAGCGUCUGGAAAGACGCGCGAUACAGGGUGACAGCCCCGUACACAAAAGCGUAUGUGCUGUGAGCUCGAUGAGUAGGGCGGGACACGUGGUAUCCUGUCUGAAUAUGGGGGGACCAUCCUCCAAGGCUAAAUACUCCUGACUGACCGAUAGUGAACCAGUACCGUGAGGGAAAGGCGAAAAGAACCCCGGCGAGGGGAGUGAAAAAGAACCUGAAACCGUGUACGUACAAGCAGUGGGAGCACAGGUUUACCUGUGUGACUGCGUACCUUUUGUAUAAUGGGUCAGCGACUUAUAUUCUGUAGCAAGGUUAACCGAAUAGGGGAGCCGGAGGGAAACCGAGUCUUAAUUGGGCGUUAAGUUGCAGGGUAUAGACCCGAAACCCGGUGAUCUAGCCAUGGGCAGGUUGAAGGUUGGGUAACACUAACUGGAGGACCGAACCGACUAAUGUUGAAAAAUUAGCGGAUGACCUGUGGCUGGGGGUGAAAGGCCAAUCAAACCGGGAGAUAGCUG
RNAcentral lists this ribosomal RNA (810 nucleotides) under Salmonella enterica. RNAcentral's name for it is "partial 23S ribosomal RNA". It matches the Rfam family "Bacterial large subunit ribosomal RNA", at positions 1 to 851 of the family's 2925-position model. The record is from RNAcentral. Lineage: Bacteria; Pseudomonadati; Pseudomonadota; Gammaproteobacteria; Enterobacterales; Enterobacteriaceae.